Molecule: ribosomal RNA, 670 nt
Filed under: uncultured organism
Description: bacterial SSU rRNA
Rfam family: Bacterial small subunit ribosomal RNA
Source: RNAcentral
GCGUGGGGAGCGAACAGGAUUAGAUACCCUGGUAGUCCACGCUGUAAACGAUGAUCACUCGUUGUUGGCUACUUAGUAGUCAGUGACCAAGGGAAACCGAUAAGUGAUCCACCUGGGGAGUAUGUCGGCAACGAUGAAGCUCAAAGGAAUUGACGGGGGCCCGCACAAGCGGAGGAACAUGUGGUUUAAUUCGAUGAUACGCGAGGAACCUUACCUGGGCUUAAAUGCUGGCUGCAUUGGAGGGAAACCUUCAUUUCCUACGGGACCGCCAGCAAGGUGCUGCAUGGUUGUCGUCAGCUCGUGCCGUGAGGUGUCGGGUUAAGUCCCAUAACGAGCGCAACCCCUAUCGCUAGUUGCCAGCAUGUAAUGGUGGGGACUCUAGCGAGACUGCCGGUGUAAACCGGAGGAACCCUGGGGAUCACGUCAAAUCAGCACGGCCCUUACGUCCAGGGCUACACACGUGUUACAAUGGCCGGUACAAAGAGCAGCCACCUGGCGACAGGGCGCUAAUCUCUAAAACCGGUCUCAGUUCGGAUCGAAGUCUGCAAUUCGACUUCGUGAAGGUGGAUUCGCUAGUAAUCGCGCAUCAGCCAUGGCGCGCUGCCUAAGUUCCCGGGCAUUGUACACACCGCCCGUCAAGCCAUGGAAGUCGGGGGACCUGAAGUCCGUA